CUUCUGUUUUCUCAGACCGGAAUCGACCAAUUCACUGCAGACCAGAUCCUUUGAAUCGCGCGCCACCGGUUAUCUGAGAACGAGUGUGCUGUCACAACUGGAAAGGCCACGGCAUAUCGUUCGGCGGGGGUGUGUCCCUACAUUCGGUGGCAGCGGCGGAACGCGCUGGACGCAACGCUCUUACCUUGCUCUUCUGUUUUCUCAGACCGGAAUCGACCAAUUCACUGCAGACCGGAUCCUUUGAAUCGCGCGCCACCGGUUAUCUGAGAACGAGUGUGCUGCCACAACUGGAAAGGCCACGGCAUAUCGUUCGGCGGGGGUGUGUCCCUACAUUCGGUGGCAGCGGCGGAACGCGCUGGACGCAACGCUCUUACCUUGCUCUUCUGUUUUCUCAGGUUGGUAACUAUCUGUCUGCCGUUUCUUCCUGUGUUCUGCCGCUGCCAUCAACGGGUAUAGCAUUGUGCUAGGGUUGAACAGUGUUUGUCGCGAAGUGUCCCUGUACUGGCGAUGUCUCGUUGUUAUUCUUGCCGCAAGGUACUGCACGAUAUUGACUCUGUUCUAACUUGUGGUCAAUGCGAGUUUUCUUUUCAUUGCGGUGAAUGCUCAGGAGUAAGCGAAAACACGCUGAAGGGUAAACGGGAGCAGUACAGGAAGAGUUGGAAAUGUGAGGCAUGCAGGGCUGGCGGAGGCAAAAGUGGCACCAGCACGCCGGCGCCAAGGACAGACUCUGACAUUCUUACAAAACUCGCAGAAAUGGACCGUAAGCUCAGUUCACUCCUUGUGAUUCCAAACAAAAUGACAGAAAUCGAGAAGUCGAUGCAAAUGCUAUCUGAUCAAUUUGACAAAAUUCAAAAUCGUCAAGAUAUCCAAGAGAAGGAAAUCAAGGAAAUGAAACGUCAGGUAGAAAAGAUUGAGCGUAGUGGCGCUUCAGAACAACUCUGUCGACUUGAGUCUGACCUUGAAGCACUUGAGUGGCGCAGUAGAAGACUAAACAUUGAAAUACAUGGGAUUGCGGAAACCGAGGGGGAGAAUCUACUUGAGAAGGUUAACAACCUAGGUGCACAACUGGAAAUGCAACCCAUCACAACCCAAGAUAUAGUCGCUAUUCACAGAUUGCCGGCUAAGACAGGGAAAGCGCGCGGGAUCAUCUUGCGCUUCGUGCGCCAGGAGACUAGAGACGCUUGGAUUGCCAAGCGAAAGCUUUUGAGAGAAAAGAAAAACAGGGUUUUUAUUAAUGAAAACCUAACCUCACGAACCAGAAAGCUUCUUGCUGCCACUAAAGAAUGGGCGAAGAAUGCAGACUAUCAAUUUGUUUGGCAUUCAAAUGACAAGGUGCUGAUGCGUAAAUCGAGUGGUGAACCAGUGACGGUAGUGAAAGACGUGAACGAACUCCGGGCAAUCAGCACCUGAGUCUUCGUCUUUGGUGUUACUUUGGUGUUACUGAUCUCAUUCCAAUGGAGCAGCUCGGUCUUAUCGAUAAACAAAAAUGGUUUUCUUCCUUUGCUGCAGUUAAAGGCGUGAGCUGUUUACAUAUGAAUGUACAAUCUGCUUGUAACAAACUUGGUGAACUAGAAACCUUUUUCGAUGACAUAAAUGACCUCUGUGAUGUCAUUAUGUUAUGUGAAACCUGGUACUCAAAUGAUGUUAAUAUUCUUCGACUGCCGCAAAAGAAAACAUUUUGCUUGAACAGAACAACUCGACGUGGCGGUGGUGUCUCUCUGCUGGUGAAAAAUUCCAUACCCUGUGACAUAUUGGAAGACUUUACAACAAUAACGCAUAAUGUCGAGUCAUUGUGCAUUCAAGCUGAUGGUGUUGUAUUUGGUGUGUGCUAUCGUCCACCAGACGGUAUCGUGCAGGAGUUCCUCACUUUUGUAGAUAAUCUGUUGGCGUACGCAUGCGAAAACAAGCAAAAAGUGAUCCUUGGCGGCGAUUAUAACAUUGACAUGAGUGCAUGUAGUGCUAGACAGCAUGACUUAUUAAAUAUAAUCUUGUCGAACGGUUGUAUAAAUGUUAUAGAA
Dermacentor albipictus is the source of this 2018-nucleotide long non-coding RNA. RefSeq lists it as uncharacterized. The record is from RefSeq and is a predicted model, not a curated record. NCBI's taxonomy places the organism in Eukaryota, Metazoa, Arthropoda, Arachnida, Ixodida, Ixodidae.